RNAcentral lists this ribosomal RNA (433 nucleotides) under uncultured bacterium. Its description in RNAcentral is "partial 16S ribosomal RNA". It matches the Rfam family "Bacterial small subunit ribosomal RNA", at positions 29 to 507 of the family's 1533-position model. The record is from RNAcentral.
AACGAACGCUGGCGGCAUGCCUAACACAUGCAAGUCGAACGAGACCUUCGGGUCUAGUGGCGCACGGGUGCGUAACGCGUGGGAACCUGCCCUUAGGUUCGGAAUAACUCCCCGAAAGGGGUGCUAAUACCGGAUAAUGUCUUCGGACCAAAGAUUUAUCGCCUUUGGAUGGGCCCGCGUUGGAUUAGCUAGUUGGUAGGGUAAAAGCCUACCAAGGCGACGAUCCAUAGCUGGUCUGAGAGGAUGAUCAGCCACACUGGGACUGAGACACGGCCCAGACUCCUACGGGAGGCAGCAGUGGGGAAUAUUGGACAAUGGGCGAAAGCCUGAUCCAGCAAUGCCGCGUGAGUGAUGAAGGCCUUAGGGUUGUAAAUCUCUUUUACCCGGGAUGAUAAUGGCAGUACCGGGAGAAUAAGCUCCGGCUAACUCCGUG